This is a long non-coding RNA of Mastomys coucha (southern multimammate mouse), 482 nucleotides long. RefSeq lists it as uncharacterized. Lineage: Eukaryota; Metazoa; Chordata; Mammalia; Rodentia; Muridae. The transcript has 4 exons. The record is from RefSeq and is a predicted model, not a curated record.
UGCCCUGUUUGCUCUCUACUGUUGUGAUGAACCCCGAAGCCAGGAGCAACUUAGGGAAGAAAGGGAUUACUGGGCUCAAAUGUCUCCAUCACUGUUGAUGGCUGAGGGAAAUAGAGGCAAGAACUCUACUGGAGCAGAGGCAGGAAAAUGGCAACAAGAGCAGAUCCACAUCAACGCAGUCAAGAAUGUGCUUGUGGUUUCUGCAGCCCAGGGAAGCAGAGGUUACAGCUUCAAUAAUGUGGAUGGCAGCUGCCAUUAUUGACCUUAAUGGAAAAGAACAGAGGAAAAGUGUUGUUAGCCAAAGAUAAGUAUGUAUUUUGUGACCCUCUCCUAAGUCUCGCCAACCUAAGAAAAUUCCUCAGUUCUCCCUUGUGUCUCCUGACCUUGAGAAGGUCUGGAACGCUGGUCCACAUUGGCCAAUAACUCAGGAUCCUCUUGCCUCUGCCUAAUUUGUGCUGAAAUAAAAGGUAUGUGUGACUUUC